This 428-nucleotide ribosomal RNA is filed under the name uncultured archaeon. RNAcentral's name for it is "bacterial SSU rRNA". It matches the Rfam family "Archaeal small subunit ribosomal RNA", at positions 474 to 903 of the family's 1478-position model. The record is from RNAcentral.
UACCUGCAGCUCUAGUGGUGAUCGCUAUUAUUGGGCCUAAAACGUCCGUAGCCGGCUUAUUAAAUGCCUGGGUAAAUCGUGUAGCUUAACUAUACGAAUUCCGGGUAGACUGAUAGGCUUGAGACCGGGAGAAGCUAGAGGUACUCCUGGGGUAGAGGCGAAAUUCUGUAAUCCUAGGGGGACCACCAGUGGCGAAGGCGUCUAGCUAGAACGGGUCUGACGGUGAGGGACGAAGCCCUGGGGCGCAAACCGGAUUAGAUACCCGGGUAGUCCAGGGUGUAAACGCUGCUUGCUUGAUGUUAGUUGGGCUCUGAGCCCAAUUAGUGUCGGAGAGAAGUUGUUAAGCAAGCUGUCUGGGAAGUACGGUCGCAAGACUGAAACUUAAAGGAAUUGGCGGGGAGCACAGCAACGGGUGGAGCGUGCGGUUU